UACGUAGGGUGCAAGCGUUAAUCGGAAUUACUGGGCGUAAAGCGUGCGCAGGCGGUGAUGUAGGACAGAUGUGAAAUCCCCGGGCUCAACCUGGGAACUGCAUUUGUGACUGCAUCGCUGGAGUGCGGCAGAGGGGGAUGGAAUUCCGCGUGUAGCAGUGAAAUGCGUAGAUAUGCGGAGGAACACCGAUGGCGAAGGCAAUCCCCUGGGCCUGCACUGACGCUCAUGCACGAAAGCGUGGGGAGCAAACAGG
This 253-nucleotide ribosomal RNA is filed under the name uncultured bacterium. Its description in RNAcentral is "partial 16S ribosomal RNA". It matches the Rfam family "Bacterial small subunit ribosomal RNA", at positions 524 to 776 of the family's 1533-position model. The record is from RNAcentral.